AUCCCAGAUAAUGAUUGUCGUGAUUUUCUGAUCCAUGUGGGGCAAAGAAUAAGGAUGGGUAGUUCGUUGAUAACAACUUUAAUUUCAUCAAAAGUUGUUCUGAUAGCACCUCUACACGCAAUA
This is a small nucleolar RNA of Hibiscus syriacus, 123 nucleotides long. The record is from RefSeq and is a predicted model, not a curated record. NCBI's taxonomy places the organism in Eukaryota, Viridiplantae, Streptophyta, Magnoliopsida, Malvales, Malvaceae.